GGGGAUUUAGCUCAGCGGUAGAGCGCUUGCCUAGGGAGCGCAAGGCCCUGGGUUCAGUCCCCA
Rattus norvegicus (Norway rat) is the source of this 63-nucleotide non-coding RNA. NCBI's taxonomy places the organism in Eukaryota, Metazoa, Chordata, Mammalia, Rodentia, Muridae. The record is from Rfam.